CAGCGCCACAAGUGGGAAUCACAUUUAUUGGGCCUAAAGCGUCCGUAGCCUGUCUGAUAAAUCUCUUGUGAAAUCGUUCGGCUUAACCGAACGGCGUGCAGGAGAAACUGUCAAACUAGAGACCGGGAGGGGUCAGAGGUAUUCCAUGAGGAGCGGUAAAAUGCUAUAAUCCAUGGAGGACCACCGGUGGCGAAGGCGUCUGACCAGAACGGAUCUGACGGUGAGGGACGAAAGCCAGGGGAGCAAUCCGGAUUAGAUACCCGAGUAGUCC
RNAcentral lists this ribosomal RNA (271 nucleotides) under uncultured archaeon. RNAcentral's name for it is "partial 16S ribosomal RNA". It matches the Rfam family "Archaeal small subunit ribosomal RNA", at positions 477 to 747 of the family's 1478-position model. The record is from RNAcentral.